Molecule: non-coding RNA, 386 nt
Organism: Monodelphis domestica (gray short-tailed opossum)
Lineage: Eukaryota; Metazoa; Chordata; Mammalia; Didelphimorphia; Didelphidae
Source: RefSeq, a predicted model, not a curated record
UAAAAUUACAUUGUUACAGGAUACCUCUGUUAUUUGGAAAAUAAAAUCUGACCCAGAAGUGCCCUGUGCUCUCAUCUUCACCGGGAGGAAAGAAAAGGUAGGCAGCAAGAAGCUGAGGCUACAAUGACAAAGAUGAAAUAAUUCCUCCCCUGAAAGAACUUGACAUUUUACUGAAAGAGACCUCCGGGACCAGGUCUAACGAGGUAGCCACAAGUCUGGUUUCCCCCACAGUUCCGUUCCUAAAGAGGUACCCGUAGAACAGAGGAGUUGAAACUAACACAGAAUGAGCCGGUCCUUUCUUCUCCAGUAUACGAUCUCUGGGUAAGGAAGUUACCAGCAGCGAGGGGGGACAAUCGUCAACAAUAAAACAUUCAUGAAGUGUCAAA